RNAcentral lists this non-coding RNA (29 nucleotides) under Rattus norvegicus (Norway rat). Lineage: Eukaryota; Metazoa; Chordata; Mammalia; Rodentia; Muridae. The record is from RNAcentral.
UAUUACAUCACAUUUCCUUGCACUUAGCC